AGUGGUGUUGGUUUUUGUCUGACCAAAUUCAAGUUAUGUCCGACCAAAAUUAAAAGUGAUCGGACAAAUGUCCUGUCAAGUCAAAUAUUUAUUUGCAGCCCUGUACAUGUUAUUAGUGCUCAGAAUGCAGGAAAUUGGCAUUUCAAGGCUCCUUCCUGAAAACUCACAACUUUCGACAGAGUGUUGACAUGAGUCUGUAGCGAGAAUC
Molecule: non-coding RNA, 208 nt
Organism: Paramuricea clavata
Lineage: Eukaryota; Metazoa; Cnidaria; Anthozoa; Malacalcyonacea; Plexauridae
Source: the annotation of a GenBank genome assembly